GGAGGAGUCAGCGAUGGGAGGCGUCUGCAGGGGCUCCUCCAGUUCUGCGCCCAGAGAGAGCCCGGGCACAAAGAGCGGUCUGCACUCCAGCCUCAGGAUCGCCGGCCCGAGGUGUGUGCUCCAGCGCUCCCUGGUGGUUCCUGACUUGUUCACACAGCCGCGCAGCUUGGUGGGAUCGGAGGAGGUCUCAAGAGUUCCCAGAGUUCCGGGGAUGCCGACGCGAGAAGGAAAUUGAGGUCAUCACAGCCACGACGAGGAGCAGCCUUGCAGAUAAGUAUUGGGGUUCACCAGCGUGCAGCCCGACAGUCUCUCUGUUGGUGUGUGCAGGGAAAACGUAUCUCACAAUCCCAGGGGAAAGGAAGGCUGCAAGACAGACAUUUGCUUCUCCACCCCUUUUUUAAAAACUAUUUUUAUUUUUAAAUAUUUUAUUUUUAUUUAUUUAUUUGAGAGAGGGAAAGACAGAGAGAGAGAGAGAAUGGGCUUCUAGCCACUGCAAAUGAACUCCGAUACA
Jaculus jaculus (lesser Egyptian jerboa) is the source of this 511-nucleotide long non-coding RNA. RefSeq lists it as uncharacterized. NCBI's taxonomy places the organism in Eukaryota, Metazoa, Chordata, Mammalia, Rodentia, Dipodidae. The record is from RefSeq and is a predicted model, not a curated record. The transcript is spliced from 3 exons.